AGAGUUUGAUCAUGGCUCAGAACGAACGUUGGCGGCGUGGAUUAGGCAUGCAAGUCGAACGAGAACCAUUGGGGAACUGAUGGGGAAAGUGGCGAAAGGGGCAGUAAUGCAUGGGUAACGUACCCUGAGGACCGGGAUAGCUAUCCUAACGGGAGGUAAUACCGGGCGAUGUAGCGAGGUCGCAUGAUCUUGCUACCAAAUGAAUUUCGCCUUGGGAGCGGCUCAUGUGAUAUUAGCUAGUUGGUGAGGUAACGGCUCACCAAGGCUGAGAUGUCUAGCGGGUGUGAGAGCACGACCCGCGCCACUGGCACUGAGACACUGGCCAGACUCCUACGGGAGGCUGCAGUCGAGGAUCUUCGGCAAUGGGCGCAAGCCUGACCGAGCGACGCCGCGUGUGCGAUGAAGGCCUUCGGGUUGUAAAGCACUGUCGAGGGGGAGGAAGCCGAAAGGUUGACCUAUCCCUGGAGGAAGCACGGGCUAAGUUCGUGCCAGCAGCCGCGGUAAGACGAACCGUGCGAACGUUGUUCGGAAUCACUGGGCUUAAAGGGCGCGUAGGCGGCUUAUCAAGUCCGGGGUGAAAUCUUUCGGCUUAACCGGAAAAGUGCCUUGGAUACUGAUGAGCUUGAGUGAGAUAGGGGCAGCUGGAACUUCCAGUGGAGCGGUGAAAUGCGUUGAUAUUGGAAGGAACUCCGGUGGCGAAAGCGAGCUGCUGGAUCUCUUCUGACGCUGAGGCGCGAAAGCUAGGGGAGCGAACGGGAUUAGAUACCCUAGUAGUCC
RNAcentral lists this ribosomal RNA (777 nucleotides) under uncultured bacterium. RNAcentral describes it as "bacterial SSU rRNA". It matches the Rfam family "Bacterial small subunit ribosomal RNA", at positions 8 to 796 of the family's 1533-position model. The record is from RNAcentral.